Molecule: transfer RNA, 68 nt
Filed under: Staphylococcus aureus LysK 1 2011
Lineage: Bacteria; Bacillati; Bacillota; Bacilli; Caryophanales; Staphylococcaceae
Also listed under: 1 other name
Description: partial tRNA-Glu
Rfam family: tRNA
About the family: Transfer RNA (tRNA) molecules are approximately 80 nucleotides in length. Their secondary structure includes four short double-helical elements and three loops (D, anti-codon, and T loops).
Source: RNAcentral
GCUCCUUGGUCAAGCGGUUAAGACACCGCCCUUUCACGGCGGUAACACGGGUUCGAGUCCCGUAGGAG